AGGUAGUUUGAGGAAGAAACCUGAAGCUGGGGGCAGGUCUGACUGGCAAUACUGAUUCAAAAGCCAUCAGCACCCAGAUGGUAAUACAAGCAAGGAUAAGAUCAUUCAAGGUGUGUGUAAACACUGGAAAAUCAGUGGGCUGAGGCCAGAGCCCUAGAGAACCUCUAUAUUUAAGAACAGGAGCUAGCAAAGGAACGUGUUGCACAUGGCUUGGAAGCUAGGCAGCUGGAAAAGGCCAGCAGGAAUACAACCAAAGAACUCUUGGCAUGGCGGAGCCCAGGAUUUAAUUCAAGUGAGACGUGUCAGCAAGAGAAAAAGGAGGAGACAAGCACGGGGAAGUGCUGCCAAUGUAUGUUUUCCCUCAGGAGCACUGGGCUGCCAGCGGACUCUUUAAACGGGUCGGUGUGCGUGCCACUCUGUCAGCACCCCUCCUCUGCUCAGCCUGCAGAAAGACUUCAUGCUAUGGACAUCUUUUCUGGGGCCAGUGCACAGCCCUCCAGUCCCCCAUUAACUCUCAUUUUGAGGAGCUGAGAUCAGCUGAGGAAAGCUUCGCCAAGCUUCAGAGCAUCAAAAUGUGCAUUUGGGAGGGGUAGGCAGGCAGAUGGCGCCAGAUUAAAAAGAUGCUGGGCUCGCUCGCUGCUCUGAGGUCUCUGAAUUGCCUCCAGCACGGCAGUGUGGAAUCAGGAACUCCAUCAUAUGACCUAAAAACUUGUGAGUCUCUCCAAAAAGACUUAGCUUGCUACAAGAUACUGAAGGGGAUUGAGAUGCACUUCCAGAGGUCCUGAGAUUCUAGAAGCCCAGCAUCCACCAGAUGCCUGCUGAAGCUGAUGGCUGCUGCACACUCUGCUGAUGGUGAAACAGCAUGAACUAGAUUGCAGGAUUGGAUAUAGGUGAAGAAUUUCUUAACUUGUACAAUCUGGUAUUGAGGACUGUGCAUCGAUGCUUUUUGGAGUGGAGGAAGAAGGGGAAUGGCAAGGACUGUGGAGCAAGGAUUUGGAACUGUGGCCCAUGUGUGCAAAUAAAAAGUAAGCACCUCUGCUGGAAAAAAUCUUAUACUCUGCCUUUCUACAUAAGCUAGAUUUUCUUCACUAUCUUCUAAACAUGGACUAAGAAAUCUCAAGAGGUCAGAUAUCUAGCUUCUUGUUUAGUAGCUGCGGGGAAAGAGACUGUGCAAGUGUUUGGUGCCGGCACCCCUGCCACUGGCAUGUGCUUGUCCCAAUGCAUUAAGACAAAACUGUACUAAGCCAGGGCAAACAAACACCUGCCUCUAUCUAGGGCUGUAAACAGGUGGCCUGAGGUUUCUCUGCUACAUGCUCUUCACUGCCCACAGUCCCCACCCCUCCCUAUGGCUUUAUACCCCUGCUACGGUGAGAAAGUUUGCACUGCCACCUUUGGGACUCCUUCUGCCUCAUUGCACCCUAGUAUGGCUCAGAUAAUUCAUUUCUAAUUGAAGCCAGCAAAUACUGGCUUUCUAUCAUCUGCAAAGCACUUUGUUAAGCAAAAGGGCUAUGGGAGGGUGGGGAGAGGAAAUCACAGAAACAGUAAAAUAAAGCUGGUUAUCAAGGUGAUGGCAAGGGGCUGGAUAGAAAGAUAAGAAAUCUGUUUCAAAGUGCCUGUGUCCAACUACAUCGUCUUGAUUGACUUACUCAUGAACUCCCUCAAACAAACCAAAAACAAACAUCAGUCAGGCUGGGUUGAGUUUAGGUUCUGCCACUUCUUUAAACGCACAUAUCAGGCAAGUCAUUUAAUUUCACUAUGCCUCAGGUUCCUCAUCUAUAAACAGGAGAGAGUAACAGUCCCUUUCUUAUAGGAUGGUUGUAAAAAUUGUAUGCAUUAAUGCACAGCAAGCCCUCAGAAUAGUACCUGGCAAGUGUAAGCAUUCCAUAAAUGUUAGCUGUCACCAUCAUCAUCAACAUUAUUAGCAUGAUUUUACUUCUUACCCAUUCAUGUAAUCAUAAUUUCUUAAACUCUGAUAACCAUUACAAAAGCCCAAUGCAAAGCCACAGAACACAAAUUCACGUUCCCCUCUGGGGGUUAAAUUUUGGCCUCACCACAGUGGUUCUGUUGAUAUGAAUUCUUUAUCAGCUUGAAGUUAAUGCUGGAAUGCUAGAACAAUGACCACAAAGAUGUCUAGAGAGAUCUGGUUCUUUUACUGAGCAGUGUAGACACUUUUUAUGACUUAACACUCUUGCAAUAAAAAUUAAGUGGUUACAUAAGACCACUACCAAAUGACAAAACCACGAUUAUGUACUGGCUCCCUACAAAAUCCUUCACAGAAAUGGAUAUUAGUUGAGAACUUAACAUGAAUAACCACAGUAUCAACGACAACAUAUUCAAGUUUUUAUGAAAACCAAGGCAAUUCUUGGCGCUUUGAGAAUUUUUUUUUAAAUCAAAGUAACCAUUAAAGUGAUUUCGUAAAAAGUCCUGAUGUACCUGGUUAUGCUAAAUUCGGGCCAAAUAUGAGAACAAAACUGUAAAUGGCAUUCAUAGCUGAAUGUAGUCUCUUAAACUGUGGUAAGAACAAUACAGAUCAAAUGUUCUUCUGUUAUUUAUUUAUUUUUUAAAGUAAAUUUAAACCAGAAAGUUUGAAUUUAUUUCUUAGGGAGAAAAUCAGGAAACUGUUUGGUUUCUAUUCAUUUCUUAUGUACCUCAAAAUGUAAUUGAUCAAAACUUUGAAUUUUAAGAAAGAGAUGUCAUUAAUUCGUUCAAUGGACCAGAAUAUUAAUUGACAACUCUGUAACUUUGUUGCAACAAAUUUAGCAGGUUAUGAUGAAGAUCAGAUAAGGGACAAAGCUCUGAAGAACGCCAGAUAAAUUGAAAAGAUUAUUGGUUGACUAUAAUUUCUAAUUAUCUUUACUUUAUCAAGAGUGCUGGCCG
Long non-coding RNA from Macaca mulatta (Rhesus monkey), 2877 nucleotides. RefSeq lists it as uncharacterized. Lineage: Eukaryota; Metazoa; Chordata; Mammalia; Primates; Cercopithecidae. The record is from RefSeq and is a predicted model, not a curated record.